ACAUGCAAGUCGAGGGGCAGCACAAGGAUAGCAAUAUUCUGGUGGCGACCGGCGCACGGGUGAGUAACACGUAUGCAACCUACCUGUAAGAGGGGAAUAACCCGGAGAAAUUCGGACUAAUACCGCAUAAUACCUUUAAGCUGCAUGGCUUAAAGGUUAAACAUUUAUGGCUUACAGAUGGGCAUGCGUAACAUUAGAUAGUUGGUGAGGUAACGGCUCACCAAGUCAACGAUGUUUAGGGGUUCUGAGAGGAAGGUCCCCCACACUGGUACUGAGACACGGACCAGACUCCUACGGGAGGC
Molecule: ribosomal RNA, 302 nt
Filed under: uncultured Porphyromonadaceae bacterium
Lineage: Bacteria; Pseudomonadati; Bacteroidota; Bacteroidia; Bacteroidales; Porphyromonadaceae
Description: bacterial SSU rRNA
Rfam family: Bacterial small subunit ribosomal RNA
Source: RNAcentral